This 546-nucleotide ribosomal RNA is filed under the name uncultured bacterium. RNAcentral describes it as "bacterial SSU rRNA". It matches the Rfam family "Bacterial small subunit ribosomal RNA", at positions 356 to 896 of the family's 1533-position model. The record is from RNAcentral.
GGGGAAUAUUGCGCAAUGGGGGGAACCCUGACGCAGCCAUGCCGCGUGAAUGAGGAAGGCCUUCGGAUUGUAAAGUUCUUUCGGUAUUGAGGAAGGUUGAUGUGUUAAUAGCACAUCAAAUUGACGUUAAAUACAGAAGAAGCACCGGCUAACUCCGUGCCAGCAGCCGCGGUAAUACGGAGGGUGCGAGCGUUAAUCGGAAUAACUGGGCGUAAAGGGCACGCAGGCGGUUAUUUAAGUGAGGUGUGAAAGCCCUGGGCUUAACCUAGGAAUUGCAUUUCAGACUGGGUAACUAGAGUACUUUAGGGAGGGGUAGAAUUCCACGUGUAGCGGUGAAAUGCGUAGAGAUGUGGAGGAAUACCGAAGGCGAAGGCAGCCCCUUGGGAAUGUACUGACGCUCAUGUGCGAAAGCGUGGGGAGCAAACAGGAUUAGAUACCCUGGUAGUCCACGCUGUAAACGCUGUCGAUUUGGGGGUUGGGGUUUAACUCUGGCGCCCGUAGCUAACGUGAUAAAUCGACCGCCUGGGGAGUACGGCCGCAAGGUUA